CACGUAGGGGGCAAGCGUUGUCCGGAUUUAUUGGGCGUAAAGAGCUCGUAGGUGGUUCGGUAAGUCGGGUGUUAAACCCCCAGGCUCAACCUGGGGACGCCACUCGAUACUGCUGUGACUAGAGUCCGGUAGGGGAGCGUGGAAUUCCUGGUGUAGCGGUGAAAUGCGCAGAUAUCAGGAGGAACACCAGCGGCGAAGGCGGCGCUCUGGGCCGGUACUGACACUGACGCUCAUGCACGAAAGCGUGGGGAGCAAACAGG
This 260-nucleotide ribosomal RNA is filed under the name uncultured bacterium. RNAcentral describes it as "partial 16S ribosomal RNA". It matches the Rfam family "Bacterial small subunit ribosomal RNA", at positions 524 to 776 of the family's 1533-position model. The record is from RNAcentral.